This 251-nucleotide unclassified non-coding RNA is filed under the name fungal sp. RNAcentral describes it as "partial internal transcribed spacer region". The stretch from base 1 to 46 matches the Rfam family "Eukaryotic small subunit ribosomal RNA", at positions 1786 to 1831 of the family's 1831-position model. The record is from RNAcentral. Lineage: Eukaryota; Fungi.
AAGUCGUAACAAGGUAACCGUAGGUGAACCUGCGGUUGGAUCAUUAUUAUAAUGACGCUUUUGAAGGGAGACGAGUGAAGCCUAGCUUUGCUGCAGUACCCUUCAAAAGUGACUAACCCUUUGUGCAAUGUAAUGUUUUUUGGGUCUAGCGUUAAAAACUAGGCCCUGCCAUUUUGAAAACCAAUUUUAAACUUGACUAAAACUUUAAAAAUAAAAUUUUAAAACUAUAGACAACGGAUCUCUUGGUUCUC